CCGCACGGGUGAGUAACACGUAUCCAACCUGCCGUCUACUCUUGGCCAGCCUUCUGAAAGGAAGAUUAAUCCAGGAUGGCAUCAUGAGUUCACAUGUCCGCAUGAUUAAAGGUAUUUUCCGGUAGACGAUGGGGAUGCGUUCCAUUAGAUAGUAGGCGGGGUAACGGCCCACCUAGUCAACGAUGGAUAGGGGUUCUGAGAGGAAGGUCCCCCACAUUGGAACUGAGGCACGGUCCAA
Molecule: ribosomal RNA, 238 nt
Filed under: uncultured bacterium
Lineage: Bacteria
Description: partial 16S ribosomal RNA
Rfam family: Bacterial small subunit ribosomal RNA
Source: RNAcentral